AGUGAACGCUGGCGGUAGGCCUAACACAUGCAAGUUGAACGGCAGCACAGUAAGAGCUUGCUCUUACGGGUGGCGAGUGGCGGACGGGUGAGGAAUACAUCGGAAUCUACUUUUUCGUGGGGGAUAACGUAGGGAAACUUACGCUAAUACCGCAUACGACCUACGGGUGAAAGCAGGGGAUCUUCGGACCUUGCGCGAUUGAAUGAGCCGAUGUCGGAUUAGCUAGUUGGCGGGGUAAAGGCCCACCAAGGCGACGAUCCGUAGCUGGUCUGAGAGGAUGAUCAGCCACACUGGAACUGAGACACGGUCCAGACUCCUACGGGAGGCAGCAGUGGGGAAUAUUGGACAAUGGGCGCAAGUCUGAUCCAGCCAUACCGCGUGGGUGAAGAAGGCCUUCGGGUUGUAAAGCCCUUUUGUUGGGAAAGAAAAGCAGCAGGUUAAUACCCCGCUGUUCUGACGGUACCCAAAGAAUAAGCACCGGCUAACUUCGUG
Molecule: ribosomal RNA, 492 nt
Filed under: uncultured bacterium
Lineage: Bacteria
Description: partial 16S ribosomal RNA
Rfam family: Bacterial small subunit ribosomal RNA
Source: RNAcentral